UACGUAGGGUGCAAGCGUUAAUCGGAAUUACUGGGCGUAAAGCGUGCGCAGGCGGUGAUGUAAGACAGAUGUGAAAUCCCCGGGCUCAACCUGGGAACUGCAUUUAUGACUGCAUCGCUGGAGUGCGGCAGAGGGGGAUGGAAUUCCGCGUGUAGCAGUGAAAUGCGUAGAUAUGCGGAGGAACACCGAUGGCGAAGGCAAUCCCCUGGGCCUGCACUGACGCUCAUGCACGAAAGCGUGGGGAGCAAACAGG
RNAcentral lists this ribosomal RNA (253 nucleotides) under uncultured bacterium. RNAcentral describes it as "partial 16S ribosomal RNA". It matches the Rfam family "Bacterial small subunit ribosomal RNA", at positions 524 to 776 of the family's 1533-position model. The record is from RNAcentral.